GCCCCAACCUUGAUUAUACAUAUAUAACUCUGAUCAUGUGAGAACCUUUCUAUUAACAAACUGAAAACCUUUCUUCCUUGAAAAGGGUUCUCAUGCACCUCUCUCUCUCUAUAUGUAUGUAUGUAUGUCACCAACUUCUUGUUAUCUUUUGAAACUUGCAACAGCUAUUUUAUGUUUGCAAAUGCGACUACCACUUUCGACCAACUGGUGGAUUCUUAUCCUGGUCCGCUGAUUUUUGUUUCGAUACUUGUAAGUUGAUCAAAUUAGAUGAAGAUAUUUCUAUGGCAAAAAAAUCAGAAUCAGUUCACCUUUUGCAGUGUCCAGAUCCUUAUUUCAAGAAAAGACAUCAUAAAAGGAGAGUUCUUCAAUCCAGCCUUGUGGAGUCCAUUGUGAAGAAUUUGUCACCAG
This 408-nucleotide long non-coding RNA is filed under the name Zostera marina. RNAcentral's name for it is "long non-coding RNA (ZMAR_LNC005833)". Lineage: Eukaryota; Viridiplantae; Streptophyta; Magnoliopsida; Alismatales; Zosteraceae. The record is from RNAcentral.